AUGAGGCGCGCGAUCUGGGAGCGCUUGAUGCCGAGAUCCGUGAGCUCGGCGACGCGCUUGGACAGGUUCAGCUCCACAUCGGCGCAGAGGAACUGCGGGUCGGCGGCGACGAUGGCGGCGGUGGUUGAGGGGGAGAUGCCGAGCGCGGCGAGGAAGGCGAGGACGGCGUCGAUCUUGGAGGGGGACUUGAGGUGGGCGAGCUUCUUGGACGCCUUGCGCGCCUUGGGCCGGGAGAGGCCGCAGGUGGUGACGAGGUAG
RNAcentral lists this ribosomal RNA (258 nucleotides) under Triticum aestivum (bread wheat). Its description in RNAcentral is "partial small subunit ribosomal RNA". Lineage: Eukaryota; Viridiplantae; Streptophyta; Magnoliopsida; Poales; Poaceae. The record is from RNAcentral.